AUAAAGUGCUGAGAGAAAAACAGUGGAGAAGAGAAAGAGAAUUAGAUAGUGGAGAAGAGAGAGAGAGAGAAAAAUAGUGGAGAAGAGAAAGAGAAUUAGAUAGUGGAGAAGAGAGAGAUUGACACAGAUAGUGGAGAAGAGAGAGAGAGAAUUACUGUAGAAGAGAGAGAGAGAAAUAGUGUAGAAGAGAGAGAGAGAGAGAAAUAGACAGUGGAAAAGAGAGAGAGAGACUCAGACAGUGAAGAAGAGAGAGAGACACAGACAGUGGGAAAGAGAGAGAGAAAUGGUGGAGAAGAGAGAGAAACAGAGAGUGAAGAAGAGAGAGAGACAGACAGUAGAAAAGAGACAGAGAGAGAAAUAGAUUGUGGGGAAGAGAGAGAGUGACAGAGAGUGUAGAGGGGAGAGAGAGAGAUACAGACAGUGGAAAAGAGAAAGAGAGAAAUAGUGGAGAAGAGAGAGAUAAAAAAAUAGACUGGAAAAGAGAGAGAGAGAGAGAGAGACAGAGACAGUGGAGAAGAGGGAUAGAGAUAGAAAUAGACAGUGGAGAAGAGAGAACAAGACAGACAGUGGAGAGGAGGAGAGAAAUUGACAGUUGAGAAGAGAGAAAGAGACACAGACAGUGGAAAAAAUAGAGAGAAACAGAUAUGGAUAGAGAGAGAGAGAACAGAUAUGAGAAGAGAGAGAGAGAUGGAAAUAGACAGUGGAGAAGAGAGAAAGAGACAGACAGUGGAGAGGAGAAUGAGAGAAAUUGUGCUGAGAAGAGAGAAAGAGACACAGACAGUGGAAAAAAUAGAGAGAGAAAUAGACCAUGGAUAGAGAGAGAGAGAGAAACAGAUAGUGGAGAAGCGUGAGAGAGAGAAAUAGUGGAGAAGAGAGAGAUAGAAAUAGACAGUGGAGGAGAGAGAGAGAGGAUGAAGUAGAGGAAGAGAGCACGAGAAAAUGGAGUGGAAAAGACAGAGAAAGAGAGAAGCAGAAGAGAGAAAGAAGGAACGAGAGAGAAAUAGAACCUGGUAAAGAGAGAGAGGGAGAAAAUGAGAACGGGAGAUUAAAAAAGAGUACAAGGAGUGGAAGAGACAGAAAGAUAAAGGGAAAAAUGAGGAAAAGAGAGAGGGAGAAGGAGAAAGAGAGGGAGAAGACAGGAAGAGAGGGGACAAGAGAGGAAGAAAGAGAGACAAAAGUAGAGAGUAAAAGAGGGGGCGAGGGAAGUGAAGAGAGAGGGGAAAAAGAGAGGCAGAAGGAGAAGAAGAAGCAGGAGCGGGGGAGAAGAGAGUUGAAGAGAGAGAAGAAAAGAGAAAAAGAGAUGGAGAAAGAGAGGGGGAGAGAGAAGAGGAAAGAGAGGAAGAGACAGAGAGGAGGGAAGAGAUAGAGGAAGAGAGAAAAAAAUAGACAAAGAAAGAGAGGGGGGAGGGAACAAGAGUGGGAGAGAAGGGGAAAAAGGAGAGAGAGCGGUGGGAGAGGGAAAAAAAGAGAAAGUCAAGAGUGGAUGAGAGGGAGAGAGACACACAGGGGAGAGAGAGACAAAGGGAAAGAAGGAGUUGGAGAGAGAAAAAAGAGAAGUAAGAGAGAAAAAGGAAGAGCGAGAGGAGAGAGAGGAAAAGCGGUGGAAAGAGAGAGAGGAAGAAAGUGAGGAGGAAAGAGAAAAAUAGAGCGGAAGAGAGAGAAAGAAAAGAGAGGGCGAGAGAGGGAGAAAAAGAGGAGGAGAGAAAUGUAGACAGGAGGAGAGAGGAAGAGAGUGGAAUAGAGAGAGAAAGAGAGGAGGAGAAAAAUGAUGAGAGGAGGACAGAAAGAGUGAGAGAGAGAGAAAUAAAGUGGAAGAGACAGAGACAGUGGAAGAUAGGAAGAGACAAUGAGAGAAAGAGAGAAGAAAAAAUAGAGUGGAAAAGAGAGAGAGAGAGAGAGAGGGAGAGAGGAAAAAAGAGAAAGAGGGAGAGAGAAAAAAGAGUGGAAGACAGAGGGGAAGAGGAGGAAAAAGGAAAAGAGAGAGCAAAAGAAAGCAAGAAAAGGGAGAGAGGUGGGGAGAAAGAGGGAGAAGAGAGGAAAAGCGAGGAAGAGAGAGAAAAAGAACAAGAGAGAGAGGAGAUUGGGAGAAAAAGAGAAGAAGAGAGAGUGAGAAAAAGAGAGAGGAAGAGAGACAGAGAAAAAGAGAGGAGGAGAGGUAAAGAGAGAGGGGGAUAGAGAGUAAGAGAGAAAAAGGGAAAAGAGAGUGGAAGAGAGAGAGGGAGGAAAGAAAAAAAAGAAGAGAGGAAGAGAGAGAAAAAGAAGAAGAGAGAGAUAAAAAUAGAGUGGAAGUAAAAGAAAAAUAGAGAGUGGAAGAAAGAGGAGAAGAGAGAAAACAGAGGAAGAGAGAGAGAAAAAGAGGAAAGAGAGGAAGAGAGAGAAAUAGAGAGUAGAAGAGAGCGGGAGAGAGGGAGAGAGAGGAAGAGAGAAAAAAUAAAGAGUAGAA
Molecule: long non-coding RNA, 2443 nt
Organism: Sarcophilus harrisii (Tasmanian devil)
Lineage: Eukaryota; Metazoa; Chordata; Mammalia; Dasyuromorphia; Dasyuridae
Source: Ensembl